AUUGAACGCUGGCGGCAUGCCUUACACAUGCAAGUCGAACGGCAGCAUGGAGAGCUUGCUCUCUGAUGGCGAGUGGCGAACGGGUGAGUAAUGCAUCGGAACGUACCGUGUAAUGGGGGAUAACGUAGCGAAAGUUACGCUAAUACCGCAUACGACCUGAGGGUGAAAGCAGGGGAUCGCAAGACCUUGCGUUAUACGAGCGGCCGAUGUCAGAUUAGCUAGUUGGUGAGGUAAAGGCUCACCAAGGCGACGAUCUGUAGCGGGUCUAAGAGGAUGAUCCGCCACACUGGGACUGAGACACGGCCCAGAGUCCUACGGGUGGCAGCAGUGGGGAAUUUUGGACAAUGGGGGCAACCCUGAUCCAGCCAUGCCGCGUGAGUGAAGAAGGCCUUCGGGUUGUAAAGCUCUUUCGGCCGGGAAGAAAUCGCACAGGCUAAUACUCUGUGUGGAUGACGGUACCGGCAUAAGAAGCACCGGCUAACUACGUGCCAGCCGCCGCAGUAA
RNAcentral lists this ribosomal RNA (504 nucleotides) under uncultured bacterium. RNAcentral's name for it is "partial 16S ribosomal RNA". It matches the Rfam family "Bacterial small subunit ribosomal RNA", at positions 30 to 523 of the family's 1533-position model. The record is from RNAcentral.